Molecule: ribosomal RNA, 441 nt
Filed under: uncultured bacterium
Lineage: Bacteria
Description: partial 16S ribosomal RNA
Rfam family: Bacterial small subunit ribosomal RNA
Source: RNAcentral
CCUACGAGCGGCAGCAGUGGGGAAUAUUGCACAAUGGGGGAAACCCUGAUGCAGCGACGCCGCGUGAGUGAAGAAGUAUUUCGGUAUGUAACGCCCUAUCGGCAGGGAAGAAGGAAGACGGUACCUGACUAAGAAGACCCGGCUAACAACGGGCCAGCAGCAGGGGUAAAACGAAGGGGGGGAGCGUUAGCAGGAUCCACUGGGUGUAAAGGGAGCGUAGACGGCCAUGCAAGCCAGGGGUGAAAGCCCGGGGCCCAACCCCGGGACUGCCCUUGGAACUGUGCGGCUAGAGUGCGGGAGGGGCAGGCUGAAUGCCUGGUGUCGCGGUGAAAUGCGUAGAUAUCAGGAGGAACACCGGCGGCGAAGGCGGCCUGCUGGACCGCGACUGACGUUGAGGCUCGAAAGCGUGGGGAGCGAACAGGAUUAGAUACCCCAGUAGUC